Molecule: ribosomal RNA, 547 nt
Filed under: uncultured bacterium
Lineage: Bacteria
Description: bacterial SSU rRNA
Rfam family: Bacterial small subunit ribosomal RNA
Source: RNAcentral
CCUACGGGAGGCAGCAGUGAUGGAAUAUUGCACAAUGCAGCAAAGCCUGCAUCCAGCAAUACCGUUGUGUGAGGCCUAUGUGUAAAGCACUUUCACCCGUUUCAUCAGACGGUACCCAGAAAAAGCCCCGGCUAACUCCGUGCCAGCAGCCGCGGUAAUACGGAAGGGGCGAGCGUUGUUCGGAUUACUGGGCGUAAAGAGCGUGUAGGCGGCCUUGUCAAGUCCGGGUGAAAUCCCCGGGGCUUAACCUGGAACGUGCGUUGGAUACUGCGGAGCUUGAGAGCGGAAGGUAAAGCGGAAUUCCCAGUGUAGAGGUGAAAUUCGUAGAUAUUGGGAAAACACCAGUGGCGAAGGCGGCUACUGGCUCGUUUCUGACGCUGAGGCGCGAAAGCGUGGGGAGCGAACAGGAUUAGAUACCCUGGUAGUCCACGCCGUAAACGAUGUGUGCCUAACGUCGGGGGUUAGGCCUUCGGUGUCGCAGCUAACGCUAUUAAGCUACUACCGCCUGGGGGUACGGCCGCAAAUUAAAACUCAAAUGAAUUGACGG